RNAcentral lists this ribosomal RNA (253 nucleotides) under uncultured bacterium. Its description in RNAcentral is "partial 16S ribosomal RNA". It matches the Rfam family "Bacterial small subunit ribosomal RNA", at positions 524 to 776 of the family's 1533-position model. The record is from RNAcentral.
UACAGAGGUCCCAAGCGUUGUUCGGAUUCACUGGGCGUAAAGGGUGCGUAGGUGGUGAGGUAAGUCGGAUGUGAAAGCCCCGAGCUCAACUUGGGAAUUGCAGUGGAUACUGGCGAGCUAGAGUGCGGUAGAGGAAGGUGGAAUUCCCGGUGUAGCGGUGAAAUGCGUAGAGAUCGGGAGGAACACCAGUGGCGAAGGCGGCCUUCUGGACCAGCACUGACACUCAAGCACGAAAGCGUGGGGAGCAAACAGG